ACGGAAGGCAGCAGUGGGGAAUAUUGCACAAUGGGGGAAACCCUGAUGCAGCGACGCCGCGUGAAGGAAGAAGUAUCUCGGUAUGUAAACUUCUAUCAGCAGGGAAGAUAAUGACGGUACCUGACUAAGAAGCCCCGGCUAACUACGUGCCAGCAGCCGCGGUAAUACGUAGGGGGCAAGCGUUAUCCGGAUUUACUGGGUGUAAAGGGAGCGUAGACGGUGCUGCAAGUCUGAAGUGAAAGGCAUGGGCUCAACCUGUGGACUGCUUUGGAAACUGUGGUGCUUGAGUACCGGAGGGGUAAGCGGAAUUCCUAGUGUAGCGGUGAAAUGCGUAGAUAUUAGGAGGAACACCAGUGGCGAAGGCGGCUUACUGGACGGUAACUGACGUUGAGGCUCGAAAGCGUGGGGAGCAAACAGGAUUAGAUACCCUGGUA
RNAcentral lists this ribosomal RNA (434 nucleotides) under uncultured Blautia sp. RNAcentral describes it as "bacterial SSU rRNA". It matches the Rfam family "Bacterial small subunit ribosomal RNA", at positions 341 to 792 of the family's 1533-position model. The record is from RNAcentral. Lineage: Bacteria; Bacillati; Bacillota; Clostridia; Lachnospirales; Lachnospiraceae.